RNAcentral lists this ribosomal RNA (450 nucleotides) under uncultured Glomeromycotina. RNAcentral describes it as "SSU rRNA". It matches the Rfam family "Eukaryotic small subunit ribosomal RNA", at positions 569 to 1022 of the family's 1831-position model. Lineage: Eukaryota; Fungi; Glomeromycota. The record is from RNAcentral.
AGCAGCCGCGGUAAUUCCAGCUCCAAUAGCGUAUAUUAAAGUUGUUGCAGUUAAAAAGCUCGUAGUUGAAUUUCGGGGUUAGUAGAUUGGUCAUGCCUUUGGUAUGUACUGGUCUUACUGAUUCCUCCUUCCUGAUGAACCGUAAUGCCAUUAAUUUGGUGUUGCGGGGAGACUGGACUGUUACUUUGAAAAAAUUAGAGUGUUUAAAGCAGGCUCACGCUUGAAUACAUUAGCAUGGAAUAAUGAAAUAGGACGUUUGAUUCUAUUUUGUUGGUUUCUAGGAUCGACGUAAUGAUUAAUAGGGAUAGUUGGGGGCAUUAGUAUUCAAUUGUCAGAGGUGAAAUUCUUGGAUUUUAUUGAAGACUAACUACUGCGAAAGCAUUUGCCAAGGAUGUUUUCAUUAAUCAAGAACGAAAGUUAGGGGAUCGAAGACGAUCAGAUACCGUCGUA